CAGUCGCCACGGUAAUACAGAGGGUGCGAGCGUUAAUCGGAUUUACUGGGCGUAAAGCGUGCGUAGGCGGCUUCUUAAGUCGGAUGUGAAAUCCCUGAGCUUAACUUAGGAAUUGCAUUCGAUACUGGGAAUCUAGAGUAUGGGAGAUGAUGGUAGAAUUCCAGGUGUAUCGGUGAAAUGCGUAGAGAUCUGGAGGAAUACCGAUGGCGAAGGCAGCCAUCUGGCCUAAUACUGACGCUGAGGUACGAAAGCAUGGGGAGCAAACAGGAUUAGAUACCCCCGUAGUCCCUGUCUCUUAUAA
RNAcentral lists this ribosomal RNA (301 nucleotides) under uncultured bacterium. RNAcentral's name for it is "partial 16S ribosomal RNA". It matches the Rfam family "Bacterial small subunit ribosomal RNA", at positions 509 to 809 of the family's 1533-position model. The record is from RNAcentral.